This 330-nucleotide ribosomal RNA is filed under the name Mastigoproctus giganteus (giant whipscorpion). RNAcentral's name for it is "partial large subunit ribosomal RNA". It matches the Rfam family "Bacterial large subunit ribosomal RNA", at positions 1894 to 2600 of the family's 2925-position model. Lineage: Eukaryota; Metazoa; Arthropoda; Arachnida; Uropygi; Thelyphonidae. The record is from RNAcentral.
UGAAAAAAAGUCUGGCCUGCUCACUGUUAAGAGCCGCGGUAUUUUGACUGUGCGAAGGUAGCAUAAUCAUUAGUCUUUUAAUUGGGGACUGGAAUGAAAGGUUUGAUGAGUAAUAACUGUUUUGUUUUGAAAUUAGAAUUAUUGUAAAAAUACAUAUGGGACGAUAAGACCCUAUCGAGCUUAAUAAUUUUACUGGGGUGGUAAAUAAAUUUGGAAAAGCUACCGUAGGGAUAACAGUGUAAUUUAUUUGGAAAGGUCAUAUUGAUAAAUAAGAUUACUACCUCGAUGUUGAAUUAAAACUUUAAGGUGCAAGACUUUUAAAAUUUUACA